CUCCAGGCAGGGCUCCUCGGCGUCCCUCCGGGCCCCGACGGAGGUGCCGGAGAUCUUCCGGCUACAAACCCGGGCAGGUGGAGCUCGUUAGCCGUGGUAGGCAAUCUGCCUAGGAGAGCAAACUCUAUACAAACCCGGGCAGGUGGAGGUCGUUAGCCGUGGUAGGCAAUUCACCUAGGAGAGCAAACUCUAAACAAACCCGGGCAGGUGGAGGUCGUUAGCCGUGGUAGGCAAUUCACCUAGGAGAGCAAACUCUAAACAAACCCGGGCAGGUGGAGGUCGUUAGCCGUGGGAGGCAAUUCACCUAGGAGAGCAAACUCUAAACAAACCCGGGCAGGUGGAGCUCGUUAGCCGUGGGAGGCAAUUCACCUAGGAGAGCAAACUCUAAACAAACCCGGGCAGGUGGAGGUCGUUAGCCGUGGUAGGCAAUUCACCUAGGAGAGCAAACUCCGAACAAUAAACCCGGGCAGGUGGAGCUCGUCAGCCGUGGGAGGCAAUUCACCUAGGAGAGCAAACUCUAAACAAACCCGGGCAGGUGGAGGUCGUUAGCCGUGGUAGGCAAUUCACCUAGGAGAGCAAACUCUAUACAAACCCGGGCAGGUGGAGGUCGUUAGCCGUGGUAGGCAAUUCACCUAGGAGAGCAAACUCUAUACAAACCCGGGCAGGUGGAGGUCGUCAGCCGUGGGAGGCAAUUCACCUAGGAGAGCAAACUCUAAACAAACCCGGGCAGGUGGAGGUCGUUAGCCGUGGGAGGCAAUUCACCUAGGAGAGCAAACUCCGAACAACAAACCCGGGCAGGUGGAGCUCGUCAGCCGUGGUAGGCAAUACACCUAGGAGAGCAAACUCCGAACAACAAACCCGGGCAGGUGGAGCUCGUCAGCCGUGGUAGGCAAUCUGCCUAGGAGAGCAAACUCCGAACAACAAACCCGGGCAGGUGGAGGUCGUCAGCCGUGGUAGGCAGUCUGCCUAGGAGAGCAAACUCUAAAUAAACCCGGGCUUGUGGUGCUCGUUAUACUGUCGUAGACAAUCCACGCGAUGGGAACACCAAAGAAAAGGAAAAUAAAAAAACACCAGAAAAAUGGAAAAUACAGAAACGAAACAUCAAGAAAAGAAACAAAAAGAUCAUCCACCUUUAGGCCCUAACAUCGCCAAAAUUAUGGGUGGGUCUCUUCUGGGGAGAAAGCGGCUCACCCAGACCAAAGAACAUCAACAAAAGGAUGAUAUGAAUAAAUGAACAUAAAAAAAACAAAGAAAAACACAUCAAGGAAAGAAAAAUAUAACAAACAUCAUCCACCUUCCGGCCCUGACUAACAUCACCAAAAUUAUGGGUGGGUCUCUUCUGGGGAGAAAGCGGCUCACCCAGACCAAAGAACAUCAA
Eriocheir sinensis (Chinese mitten crab) is the source of this 1378-nucleotide long non-coding RNA. RefSeq lists it as uncharacterized. The transcript is spliced from 4 exons. Lineage: Eukaryota; Metazoa; Arthropoda; Malacostraca; Decapoda; Varunidae. The record is from RefSeq and is a predicted model, not a curated record.